This 497-nucleotide ribosomal RNA is filed under the name uncultured bacterium. Its description in RNAcentral is "bacterial SSU rRNA". It matches the Rfam family "Bacterial small subunit ribosomal RNA", at positions 21 to 507 of the family's 1533-position model. The record is from RNAcentral.
GGCUCAGGAUGAACGCUAGCUACAGGCUUGACACAUGCAAGUCGCGGGGCAGCAUUUCCUUAGCUUGCUAAGGAAGAUGGCGACCGGCGCACGGGUGAGUAACGCGUAUCCAACCUUCCCAUGUCCACGGGAUAGCCCGUCGAAAGGCGGAUUAAUACCGUAUGAGGUCACAUGCGGGCAUCUAAGUGUGACGAAAGGUUUAGCGGACAUGGAUGGGGAUGCGUCCGAUUAGCUUGUUGGCGGGGUAACGGCCCACCAAGGCGACGAUCGGUAGGGGUUCUGAGAGGAAGGUCCCCCACAUUGGAACUGAGACACGGUCCAAACUCCUACGGGAGGCAGCAGUGAGGAAUAUUGGUCAAUGGACGCAAGUCUGAACCAGCCAAGUAGCGUGCAGGAUGACGGCCCUAUGGGUUGUAAACUGCUUUUAUGCGGGGAUAAAGUGUGGGACGUGUCCCAUAUUGUAGGUACCGCAUGAAUAAGGACCGGCUAAUUCCGUG